Hemiscyllium ocellatum (epaulette shark) is the source of this 494-nucleotide long non-coding RNA. RefSeq lists it as uncharacterized. Lineage: Eukaryota; Metazoa; Chordata; Chondrichthyes; Orectolobiformes; Hemiscylliidae. The record is from RefSeq and is a predicted model, not a curated record. The transcript has 3 exons.
AGCGCUCCGAAAGCUAGUGCUUCCAAUUAACUUGCUGGACUGUAACCUGGUGUUGUGAGACUUUUUCAAACUUUGUACACCCCAGUCCAACACCCGCGUCUCCAAAUCACGAAAUUGGCAGAGGCAGCAUCUGUGGUGGGAGAAACAGAGUUAACGUUUGGAGACCGGUGACUCUUGAGAACAGUAGCCAACUUUCCCCAUUGCAAUGAGCUCAGUACGCGGGUGUUUCCCUGAUGCUGCUUAAGACAACAUAUUGGCCAGUUGCUAACUCACUGACCGGAAGAAUGGCGACAAUCCCAUCUGACUGGUAGACCGUGAGGAAAGUUAGGAGAAAGUGAGGACUGCAGGUGCUCAGAUCCGAGUCCAGAGUGUGGUGCUGGAAAAGCAUAGCCGGUUGAAUUGCUUCAUGAGAAUCUACAUACAACCAUAAGAAUCAUGAGCAGGAAUAGUCUACUCAACCCACCUAUGCCAUUCAAUAAAAUCUAAUUAUAGUC